Molecule: ribosomal RNA, 337 nt
Filed under: Acanthamoeba genotype T4
Lineage: Eukaryota; Discosea; Longamoebia; Acanthamoebidae
Description: SSU rRNA
Rfam family: Eukaryotic small subunit ribosomal RNA
Source: RNAcentral
UGGAAUAGGACCCUGUCCUCCUAUUUUCAGUUGGUUUUGGCAGCGCGAGGACUAGGGUAAUGAUUAAUAGGGAUAGUUGGGGGCAUUAAUAUUUAAUUGUCAGAGGUGAAAUUCUUGGAUUUAUGAAAGAUUAACUUCUGCGAAAGCAUCUGCCAAGGAUGUUUUCAUUAAUCAAGAACGAAAGUUAGGGGAUCAAAAACGAUCACAUACCGUCGUAUUCUUAACCAUAAACGAUGCCGACCAGCGAUUAAGAGACGUUGAAUACAAAACACCACCAUCGGCGCGGCCGUCCUUGGCGUCUGUCCCUUUCAACGGGGGCAUGGCGCGAGGGCGGUUU